This 290-nucleotide long non-coding RNA is filed under the name Marmota monax (woodchuck). Lineage: Eukaryota; Metazoa; Chordata; Mammalia; Rodentia; Sciuridae. The record is from RNAcentral.
GUGACAAUCAGUAGGAAAGGAGAGAGAGCAGAAAGACUUGAAAAACUGCAAUUUGGUCAGGAAGAAACAUGUUUGAAGUUGCAGCCAAGAAAGCUUUGCUUACUACAGAAGUUAGUGCCACUAAAAAGCAGUCAAGAAUUUUUCACUGGGACAAGAGGAAAGAUGACUUGAGGCUGUAUCAGGAAUCAGCAAGACUCCAACCUAGACUCAAAGGUAUAAAAAAUAUAAACUUUAUUCAAAGGCUUUCCUUUGAGAAGAGAGACCCAGAGCAUCCCACUUGCACAGGUUUG